RNAcentral lists this non-coding RNA (22 nucleotides) under Arabidopsis thaliana (thale cress). Lineage: Eukaryota; Viridiplantae; Streptophyta; Magnoliopsida; Brassicales; Brassicaceae. The record is from RNAcentral.
UUUAUAGUUAUUGAGCUACAGA